RNAcentral lists this unclassified non-coding RNA (200 nucleotides) under Hypocreales sp. Its description in RNAcentral is "partial internal transcribed spacer 2". The record is from RNAcentral. Lineage: Eukaryota; Fungi; Ascomycota; Sordariomycetes; Hypocreales.
UUAAGUUCAGCGGGUAUUCCUACCUGAUCCGAGGUCAACCUUGUGCCGCCUAGGCGGGCUUGUAGGGGGUUUAGAGGCUGGUGCCCGAGGGCUCCCGAUGCGAGGCGGAUGCUACUACGCAAGGGGAGGGCCGCUACGGGUCCGCCACUGCUUUUCAGGGCCUACGACGGGGCGUAGAUCCCCAACACCGGGCCACUGGG